Molecule: transfer RNA, 76 nt
Filed under: Chloroflexota bacterium
Lineage: Bacteria; Bacillati; Chloroflexota
Also listed under: 2 other names
Description: Chloroflexi bacterium (hot springs metagenome) tRNA-Arg
Rfam family: tRNA
About the family: Transfer RNA (tRNA) molecules are approximately 80 nucleotides in length.
Source: RNAcentral
GGGGCUGUAGCUCAGUGGAUAGAGCAGCCGCCUUCUAAGCGGCCGGUCGUGCGUUCGAUCCGCACCAGCCCCGCCA